RNAcentral lists this transfer RNA (57 nucleotides) under Heterocephalus glaber (naked mole-rat). It matches the Rfam family "tRNA", at positions 8 to 63 of the family's 71-position model. Rfam says of the family: Transfer RNA (tRNA) molecules are approximately 80 nucleotides in length. Lineage: Eukaryota; Metazoa; Chordata; Mammalia; Rodentia; Bathyergidae. The record is from Rfam by way of RNAcentral.
UAGUUCAGUGGUAGAGUACUUGUCUAGCAAGCAUGAGGUUCUGGGUUCAAUCCCCAG